This 867-nucleotide ribosomal RNA is filed under the name gamma proteobacterium SCGC AAA300-I09. Its description in RNAcentral is "SSU rRNA". It matches the Rfam family "Bacterial small subunit ribosomal RNA", at positions 33 to 901 of the family's 1533-position model. The record is from RNAcentral. Lineage: Bacteria; Pseudomonadati; Pseudomonadota; Gammaproteobacteria.
ACGCUGGCGGCAGGCCUAAGACAUGCAAGUCGAGCGAGAAAGCCCCUCGGGGCGAGUAGAGCGGCGGACGGGUGAGUAACGCGUAGGAAUCUACCCAGUAGUGGGGGACAACUAGUGGAAACGCUAGCUAAUACCGCAUACGCCCUACGGGGGAAAGCGGGGGACCUUCGGGCCUCGCGCUAUUGGAUGAGCCUGCGUAAGAUUAGCUUGUUGGUGAGGUAAUGGCUCACCAAGGCGACGAUCUUUAGCUGGUCUGAGAGGAUGAUCAGCCACACCGGGACUGAGACACGGCCCGGACUCCUACGGGAGGCAGCAGUCGGGAAUAUUGCGCAAUGGGGGAAACCCUGACGCAGCCAUGCCGCGUGUGUGAAGAAGGCCCUAGGGUUGUAAAGCACUUUCAAUUGGGAGGAAAAGCUAUUGGUUAAUAACCAUUAGCCCUGACGUUACCUUUAGAAGAAGCACCGGCUAACUCCGUGCCAGCAGCCGCGGUAAUACGGAGGGUGCAAGCGUUAAUCGGAAUUACUGGGCGUAAAGCGCGCGUAGGCGGUUUUUUAAGUCGAAUGUGAAAUCCCCGGGCUCAACCUGGGAACUGCAUCCGAUACUGUAAGACUAGAAUGCGGGAGAGGGAGGUAGAAUUCCAUGUGUAGCAGUGAAAUGCGUAGAUAUAUGGAGGAAUACCAGUGGCGAAGGCGGCCUCCUGGCUCGACAUUGACGCUGAGGUGCGAAAGCGUGGGGAGCAAACGGGAUUAGAUACCCCGGUAGUCCACGCCGUAAACGAUGUCUACUAGCUGUAGGGGUACUUGAGACCUUUGUAGCGCAGCUAACGCGAUAAGUAGACCGCCUGGGGAGUACGGCCGCAAGUAAACU